Danionella cerebrum is the source of this 71-nucleotide non-coding RNA. NCBI's taxonomy places the organism in Eukaryota, Metazoa, Chordata, Actinopteri, Cypriniformes, Danionidae. The record is from the annotation of a GenBank genome assembly.
UUUCCUGUGGCUCAGUUGGUAGAGCAUUGCGCCAACCAUUCAACGGUCGGUCGGUCAAAUCCCUGGGAAAG